Molecule: long non-coding RNA, 227 nt
Filed under: Elaeis guineensis (African oil palm)
Lineage: Eukaryota; Viridiplantae; Streptophyta; Magnoliopsida; Arecales; Arecaceae
Description: long non-coding RNA (EGUI_LNC023990)
Source: RNAcentral
AAGUCAAUGGAGAGUGAUGAACAGCGGAUAAGAAUUCAAAGAGACAGAGUUUCAGCUCUCAAAAGAUCUUAUCAAAUACUAUUCAUUUAGCUCCUUUUAUAGACGAGUAGUUGGCAACCGUCUGUAAUGAUUAGUCAUGUGGGUCUCGUUUAUUUCGGUAUUAUGUGAUCAUGGGAUUGAUGGUUAUACCUGCCAUUGAUCAUGUUCCGGCCAUUAUGCACUUUCUG